RNAcentral lists this transfer RNA (81 nucleotides) under Flavobacteriales bacterium. Its description in RNAcentral is "tRNA-Leu". It matches the Rfam family "tRNA". From Rfam's summary of the family: Transfer RNA (tRNA) molecules are approximately 80 nucleotides in length. Their secondary structure includes four short double-helical elements and three loops (D, anti-codon, and T loops). Further hydrogen bonds mediate the characteristic L-shaped molecular structure. tRNAs have two regions of fundamental functional importance: the anti-codon, which is responsible for specific mRNA codon recognition, and the 3' end, to which the tRNAs corresponding amino acid is attached (by aminoacyl-tRNA synthetases). tRNAs cope with the degeneracy of the genetic code in two manners: having more than one tRNA (with a specific anti-codon) for a particular amino acid; and 'wobble' base-pairing, i.e. permitting non-standard base-pairing at the 3rd anti-codon position. Lineage: Bacteria; Pseudomonadati; Bacteroidota; Flavobacteriia; Flavobacteriales. RNAcentral also lists the same sequence under 1 other name. The record is from RNAcentral.
GCCGAAGUGGCGGAACUGGUAGACGCGCACGACUCAAACUCGUGUUCCUUUGGAGUGCCGGUUCGAUCCCGGCCUUCGGUA